AGAGUUUGAUCCUGGCUCAGGAUGAACGCUAGCUACAGGCUUAACACAUGCAAGUCGAGGGGCAGCAUUGGAGUAGCAAUACUUCAGAUGGCGACCGGCGCACGGGUGAGUAACACGUAUCCAACCUGCCGCUUACUCGGGGAUAGCCUUUCGAAAGAAAGAUUAAUACCCGAUGGUAUAAAGAGUUCGCAUGUUCUCUUUAUUAAAGAAUUUCGGUAAGCGAUGGGGAUGCGUUCCAUUAGAUAGUUGGCGGGGUAACGGCCCACCAAGUCUACGAUGGAUAGGGGUUCUGAGAGGAAGGUCCCCCACAUUGGAACUGAGACACGGUCCAAACUCCUACGGGAGGCAGCAGUGAGGAAUAUUGGUCAAUGGACGCGAGUCUGAGCCAGCCAAGUAGCGUGAAGGAUGACUGCCCUAUGGGUUGUAAACUUCUUUUAUAAGGGAAUAAAGUGAGGGACGUGUCCCUUUUUGUAUGUACCUUAUGAAUAAGGAUCGGCUAACUCCGUGCCAGCAGCCGCGGUAA
This 523-nucleotide ribosomal RNA is filed under the name uncultured bacterium. RNAcentral describes it as "bacterial SSU rRNA". It matches the Rfam family "Bacterial small subunit ribosomal RNA", at positions 8 to 523 of the family's 1533-position model. The record is from RNAcentral.